GUCUCUCUGGAAUACUAAGUAAAUAUAGAGAGUCGGACCUGCCCGGUGACUAAGUGUUAAACGGCCGCGGUACCCUAACCGUGCAAAGGUAGCAUAAUCAUUUGCCUUUUAAUUGGAGGCUGGUAUGAAUGGUUUGACGAGAGCUAAGCUGUCUCUUUUGUAAGAUAUUUAAAAAUUAACUUUUAGGUGAAGAGGCCUAAAUUUAUUUAAGGGACAAGAAGACCCUAUUGAGCUUUAGUGAAAUUGUGGGUAGAAUUAUUAGUGUGUAUUAGAAUACAAAUUUAACUUGUAAUUAAUCUUUAGUUGGGGCGACUAAGGAACAUGAAAAGCUUCCUUUAAAAUGUUGUAUUUGCUGAAUAAUAUAUGUUCAGAAAGAAUUCUGUCAUGUUACAUUGAUCCAAAUUUAUUUGAUUAAAGGAAAAAGUUACCAUAGGGAUAACAGCGUAAUCUUUCUGGAGAGACCGUAUCGAAAGGAGGGUUUGCGACCUCGAUGUUGGACUAAGAUAUCCUAAGGGUGUAGAAGUUCUUGAGGGUUGGUCUGUUCGACCAUUAAAAUCUU
This 559-nucleotide ribosomal RNA is filed under the name Cantharidus callichrous. RNAcentral's name for it is "partial 16S ribosomal RNA". It matches the Rfam family "Bacterial large subunit ribosomal RNA", at positions 1816 to 2597 of the family's 2925-position model. Lineage: Eukaryota; Metazoa; Mollusca; Gastropoda; Trochida; Trochidae. The record is from RNAcentral.